Molecule: long non-coding RNA, 1196 nt
Organism: Pogoniulus pusillus (Red-fronted tinkerbird)
Lineage: Eukaryota; Metazoa; Chordata; Aves; Piciformes; Lybiidae
Exons: 2
Source: RefSeq, a predicted model, not a curated record
GCAGAGACAAAUUUAAUAAUCCAAAGCAAAAAUUCAGUCAGUAAGAAGUGUUUUGGACAAAGAUCACAAUGUGGAUCAAGCUUUCUGUCAGAGACUUGGGACUCAGAGUCACCAGGGGCAAGCAGGUUGCUUCAGUCCACUUCUGCAGAUGGCAUGAAGCAGAAGCAUAGUCUGGGCAGAAGAUUAUGCACGAUCACUAACAUGCAAUUCCAGAAACAAAGGAGAUUUAGGAGCAAAAGUGAAAACAUCUAUGUUAUUUUUUUCCCCCUUUAUCUUUUAUUUUAUAUCAAAUUAAAUGGGUGGGUAAAAGCCAUUCUUUUAAAUUGACAUGGUUACGUUGGAUGCAUUCAGAAGGAGGCAAGAAAUAUGAUGGCAUUGUUCGUCUAUGUGGUUGCCUAUAUAAGCAGAAUUUCACAUGAAAAGAGGAAAUGCAGGGAUAAUAUGUCAAGUGUCUGCUUUCUUAUGUUAUCCUGUCCAGCACCACAGAUUGUGAAAUGGUUAUUUCAAUGUCUGCAUAAGUGAAAUGCCCUUAUUCAUGAUUGUUUGUUCUGUUUCCAGGAGUUUCUGUAAUACAAACCACUUAAGUGUGCAUCCCCUAGUCUGCAGAUGCUCCACAUCAUGUGUUAACCCUUGGUGCAGAGAAGAUUUGGGGAAUUCCUGCACAACAGAAUGGGUUUGUGCUGUCUGAGCAUGUCUUCCCUGAAUUCUUGCUUCCAAAUCUGAAUGCAUUGCACAAGCUGGGUGAACCAGUGGGAAUACUGUUAACAGAGCAAAUGACUUGGACCUUAAACUCUGCCACUUUUCUCAUGACAGUGAAAUGCUGAAGCAAGAGCAUCAGUGACCUGUAUAUUCAGCAAGCUAAGUGUAUGAAGUUUAGGACUCAAGUCCUGUGUUUGCCCUGAAGAACUGUCCAGCAGUCAGAAGAAUUUCCCUCCAAGAAAUAAAUGUCAAGCUGCAGAACUUUUCACACACAAGCACAAAGCUAGACACUGUUUUCUUUACCAAACUCUCAUGACUACUUUGGAGUAGACAGAAAUGAAUAUAAAAGAAGAAAGUUUUACACCCCAAUUGUCUCAGACUGAGUUUUAGAAGAUUCAGUGAUUCAAAGACAAAUUUACUGCUAGUGUGAAGCUUUCAAUCUGAAACUAUGUAGAAGUUUAUCUGAUUGACUAUAAAGAUUAUGAGUCUUCUGGAAA